GACGAACGCUGGCGGCGUGCUUAACACAUGCAAGUCGAACGGAAAGGCCCUGCUUUUGUGGUGUGCCCGAGUGGCGAACGGGUGAGUAACACGUGAGUAACCUGCCCUUGACUUUGGGAUAACUUCAGGAAACUGGGGCUAAUACCGGAUAGCAUCCGCUGCAGCAUGGUGGGGGGUGGAACGUCGCGGCGGUCGGGGAUGGACGAGCGGCUUAUGAGCUUGUUGGUUGGGGAGUUGCUUACCAAGGCUUGGACGGAUAGCCGGCCUGGGAGGGUGGCCGGCCACAUUAGGACUGAGAGAGGGCGCAGACUGCUACGGGAGGCAGCAGGGGGGAACAUUGCACAGUGAGCGGGAGCGUGAUGCAGCAGCGCCGGGUGCGGGAUGACGGCCUUCGGGUUGAAAACCGCUUUAGCCUGUGACGACGCGUGAGUGACGGUAAUGGGUAAAGAAGCACCGGCUAACUACGUG
RNAcentral lists this ribosomal RNA (468 nucleotides) under uncultured bacterium. RNAcentral describes it as "partial 16S ribosomal RNA". It matches the Rfam family "Bacterial small subunit ribosomal RNA", at positions 28 to 507 of the family's 1533-position model. The record is from RNAcentral.